Triplophysa rosa is the source of this 807-nucleotide long non-coding RNA. RefSeq lists it as uncharacterized. Lineage: Eukaryota; Metazoa; Chordata; Actinopteri; Cypriniformes; Nemacheilidae. The transcript has 3 exons. The record is from RefSeq and is a predicted model, not a curated record.
ACUCAAUCCAAAACAUUUUGAGAUUUGUGGAAUAGUUGUGCUUGUAAAAACGCAUUCGGGUGUGAGAAACAGUGACCGGUCUGAUCAUCUACAAUGACUUGAUCUUGAAGUUAAAAGGUCUGGUUUUGUUCUUAACCAGGUGGGAAAAUGAGACUUCAAAGAAUUUGGGUGUGUAUGGGAAUCUCAAGCACGGCGUCUCUCCAGGGAAGGCCUGUUCCUGCAUGCUUUGAACGCUUGUCAAUUAAAGUCGAGGUCACAGAUCUAAUGGCGUAAUGAGAGGUGUCAGCAGGCAGGAAUGUCCAGACAUGUGAGCAGAGGUUACUUCAGGUCACUUUCUUCUGCCGGAGCGGUACGUCUUUAUACACGGCCUCCCAGAGGUCCCGUGGUUUUCUGGAGCGAUGGUUAACUGUGGGCGUAACUAUACCACACACACACAGUUUGAUGCGAUCAAACAGCAAGAACACAAAAGAAGACACUGUGAAGAACGCUGAUAACCAAACAACACAUGAACACAAAACCACCGAGACAUUUCUCGAAAUAUCUUCUCUUGUGUUCCACGGAGGAAAACCACGCGAAGACGAGUUUCAUUUCUGGCUAAACUGUCAGAAAACACACACGUGAUUUUCAGGCAUGUCGACUUGACCAAGUUCAUAUCACAGAACUUUCACUUCAGUGUGGUUUGGUUCAGUAAAAGAGUCGCACAGGAAUAGAAAGCACAGAACAGCCUGAAAUAUUUUCGACAGCGACGUGGCUAUUCAAAUAGUGUGGUAUGUGAGAGGGUGUGUGUGUGUGUGCGCUCAUGUUUUC